GAUGAACGCUAGCGGCAGGCUUAACACAUGCAAGUCGAGGGGCAGCACGGGUAGCAAUACCUGGUGGCGACCGGCGCAAGGGUGCGUAACGCGUGAGCAACAUGCCCUAUACAGGGGGAUAAUCCAGGGAAACUUGGUCUAAUAUCCCAUAGUAUUUAGAGGAGGCAUCUUCUAUAAAUUAAAGCUUCGGUGGUAUAGGAUUGGCUCGCGUGACAUUAGCUAGAUGGUGAGGUAACGGCUCACCAUGGCAAUGAUGUCUAGGGGUUCUGAGAGGAAGGCCCCCCACACUGGGACUGAGACACGGCCCAGACUCCUACGGGAGGCAGCAGUGAGGAAUAUUGGACAAUGGAUGGAAAUCUGAUCCAGCCAUGCCGCGUGCAGGAAGACAGCCCUAUGGGUUGUAAACUGUCUUUUAUAUGGGAGCAAUAAGGUUUACGCGUAGACCGAUGAGAGUACCAUAUGAAUAAGCAUCGG
Molecule: ribosomal RNA, 474 nt
Filed under: uncultured bacterium
Lineage: Bacteria
Description: bacterial SSU rRNA
Rfam family: Bacterial small subunit ribosomal RNA
Source: RNAcentral